AAAAACAAACCUGACCCGUGCUUGCACACAGUGGGUGCUUUAUUAAGGCUUGGUUCCAUCAUCCCUAGAGCCAUAUGCUGCUGUGGGUUCCAGUCUGGGCCCUCUUUUCUCUAGGACCCUCCCAUCCCCUCCCCGGCUUGCCCAUGUCCUUCUGUGUUGCUUCUAACUCUUGUCAUGUGGGUCAAACCUCCCUACAGUUCUGGAUGCUGAUUUUGGCCACCACCAUCCCCAUCCCCGCAGGAUACUUUUUGCCCAUCUUUGUCUACGGUAAGACUUGAGUCCUGAAUGUCUGAGAGGGCCUAAGUGCAUAGGGCCAUAACUUCCCCAUACCGUCUCCCUCCCAAAGUGGUACUAGGGAUGGGGCAGGGCUUGAGGGGUCAAGUCAGCAUGGUUGUUUCCUUCACCCUGAAUCUGUGGCAGGAGCUGCCAUCGGGCGCCUCUUUGGGGAGGUUCUAUCUUUGGCCUUCCCAGAGGGCAUUGUGGCUGGAGGCAAGGUCAGUCCCAUCAUGCCCGGGGCCUAUGCUCUGGCAGGUAAGUGGAUCUGGAACCAGCAGGCGGGCUUACCUCACAGGUUGAUUGCAAACAAAGAAGUUUAUGGAGUAGCCUUUGAGCUGCCCAUAAGAGAGGAUCCCCC
Molecule: long non-coding RNA, 634 nt
Filed under: Rattus norvegicus (Norway rat)
Lineage: Eukaryota; Metazoa; Chordata; Mammalia; Rodentia; Muridae
Description: long non-coding RNA NONRATT023785
Source: RNAcentral